CGGUCCUCGUUUUGGCCACAGUCCGCGUGACCCCAUCCCCCCUCAGCACGCUCGCCUCCUUCGACGGCGCAGUCACCGCGCGGGGCGGCCGCCCGUGAAGUAGUUACCACGUCUUGUGUCAACGACUAAAGCUCCGGGACAGCGGCGCCCUCGGCGACAGCUGGGUGGGCAGCCUGGGCUGAAAGCGGUGGCCCGUAGCUUCCGUGAGAGCGAGCAGCGGAAGCAGCCUCCAGCCUGGCCUCGCCACAGCCGCCCGGCAAGGGAGCCCUGGCAUGCGCGGAAUGCUCCUUGAGCCCUCUUCUGACUGUUACCUUUGGGGGACGGUUGUGGCCACACUGACGUAUUUUCCAAAUAAAUCGUUUAUUCUUGCGGCGGCGGGACCGAACACGUUAAUAUAUUUUUAAUUUACCCAACACUUUUAUCCAGUGAUACAACUUGGUAAGCGUUUCGAGCGAGCAUCCGCCGGGUUAGGAAAUCGCGGACUGAGCAGCUUGCAUUUGCCACGACCGUCCUCAACUGUUUUGAAGAUUCCAUCUUAUAACUACCAGUGUGCACAGACUACUACUCAAGUAACGUCGUGUCCCAGCGAUGCAAAGAACUGAAAUCUCAAGCUGGAAAAGCCUGCAUUAUCUUCAUAAUAGCACAGAAGAAUUCUAGAUAGGAAGGACAGACGGAAACGAAUGAAGACUUUAAAAGAAAAAAACAAACAUCCAAGAUUGAGAAAAACUAUCAGGACUAAGAAGGUAACACAGAGGAAGCUGUCUUCAAGUCCUGUUUGCCUUCUAUGCCUUCAAGAACCUGGUGAUCCUGAAAAACUAGGAGAAUUUCUUCAGAAAGACAAUCUUUGUGUCCAUUAUUUCUGUCUUAUCCUGUCUAGCAGACUGCCUCAGAAGGGCCAACCCAACAGAGGUCUCCAUGGAUUUAUGCCUGAAGACAUCAAAAGGGAGGCAGUACGGGCUUCUAAGAAGAACUUUGUCUGGCAUCUCAUUUGCAGAUCUGCUUUGUAUGCAAGAAAAAAGGAGCUGCUAUCAGAUGCCAGAAUGAUCAGUGUGUCCAGAACUUCCAUCUGCCUUGUGGCCAAGAAAGGGGUUGCCUUUCACAGUUUUUUGGAGAGUACAAAUCAUAUUGUAGAAAACAUCGACCAACACAGAACAUCCACCAGGGGAGUUUGGGGGAGGAAAGCUGUGUCUUGUGUUGCGAAAAUUUAUCCCGAACAAGUGUUGAGAACAUCCAGAGCCCAUGCUGUAGUCAAGCUAUCUAUCACCGCAAGUGUAUCCAGAAAUAUGCCCACACAUCAGCAAAGCACUUCUUCAAGUGUCCCCAGUGCAACAACCGAGAAGAGUUCCCACAGGAGAUGCUGAGGAUGGGGAUCCACAUCCCAGACAGAGAUGCUGCCUGGGAACUCGAGCCAGGGGCUUUCUCCGAGUUGUAUCAGCGCUAUCGGCAUUGUGAUGCCCCCAUCUGUCUGUAUGAGCAAGGCAGAGACAGCUUUGAGGAUGAAGGACGGUGGCGCCUCAUUUUGUGUGCUACGUGUGGAUCCCAUGGAACCCACCGGGACUGCUCCUCUCUUAGACCAAACAGCAAGAAAUGGGAAUGUAAUGAGUGUUUGCCUGCUUCAACCACGAGUUAGGCUGGAAGGAUGGUCUGCUAUUACAUAUCUGAAGACUCAGGCAACACCCCCUGUUGCAGCAGCACCUUCUGCCCCCAUGUGUAUUUCUUAAGGGCUGGCUACCAGCCUGGAAGAGAAUCCCAGCUCUUCUGGACUGAUUGGCUACAAACUUCCCUCUUAGAAAAGCCCGAGUCCUCUGGUGGAAGAAGCUGCCCGUCCUGGUGAUCCAAAGGAUUGCAAAAAAUCCAAGUAAUAGCUUCAGGGCGGUUCCUGCCCAGGACAGUGAGAUACAAAAGAGCGUUGCUGCAUCAGUUUGGAGAGGUAGCACUUUGAAACCAUGAGACUCAAGGGGCUAAGUGAAGAGGUCUCAGGGGACACGGAGUCUUCGUGCCAACAGUGGAAUGUAAGGGCACUCACUGUUCACCAUAAUGUGGCUCUCAUGUGCUUCCUCCAGCUUCACUCACUCAUUUGUUAUUGACAAAUAAAGGUCAUCUCUCCACUCGGG
RNA transcript from Mus musculus (house mouse), 2114 nucleotides. It is a transcript of the gene named PHD finger protein 7, with no coding region annotated. NCBI's taxonomy places the organism in Eukaryota, Metazoa, Chordata, Mammalia, Rodentia, Muridae. The transcript is spliced from 11 exons. The record is from RefSeq and is marked validated.